This 253-nucleotide ribosomal RNA is filed under the name uncultured bacterium. RNAcentral's name for it is "partial 16S ribosomal RNA". It matches the Rfam family "Bacterial small subunit ribosomal RNA", at positions 524 to 776 of the family's 1533-position model. The record is from RNAcentral.
UACGUAGGCAGCGAGCGUUGUUCGGAGUUACUGGGCGUAAAGGGUGUGUAGGCGGUCCUCUAAGUUUGGUGUGAAAUCUCCCGGCUUAACCGGGAGGGUGCGCCGAAAACUGGGGGGCUAGAGUGCGGGAUGGGAGAGUGGAAUUCCUGGUGUAGCGGUGAAAUGCGUAGAUAUCAGGAGGAACACCGGUGGUGUAGACGGCUCUCUGGACCGUAACUGACGCUGAGACACGAAAGCGUGGGUAGCAAACAGG